GACAGUCUCACCCGAAUGAUGAAAUAAAAAUUGGCAAGUUCUAUUUUUAAUAUUGUGGCCCAUCGUCACCAAAAACAUUGCGACCAUCUCAUCUACUUCCAUAUUUUUUGUUCUCUUCAACCCCCCUGACCUUUAAGUAAAUCAACCAACUUCUAAAAGACUCUGAACUUUACUCGCAACAUGUUUAUGCAAUUAAUGUUAGUGGUUCUAGUUGCAUUAAGUAAAAACCACUCCUAUAGACUGCUCUACCAUAAGGAAGUGGCCUAGGUAUGUGAUCUUCUGUUUCAACCAACCUACGAGUAUUUUUACCUUCUUCCUUCAUUAGUAAAGAUACAUAUUGUUGAAGUAAGUUGUACCACAUGCAUAUGACAUAUACAAUUAUUCUUCUCCGUUGUUUGUAAGGCCUCCUUGCCAUCACUAUACCCUAAUGAAGUGCCAAUACACAAUCAAUAUGCUAUCUAACACAUCAUAACAUAACAAACAUAUUCACUAUACAGCCAGUAAUAAAGAAGUUAAGACCAAAACUACAAAUAUUAUACACAUGUUAUCUGAAACUCAGUAGAUUAGUUCAUGCACUGAAACUCAGUGGAUUAGUUCAUGCAUUAAAUACCACUAUGAAAAAAAUUCCAGAUUCCAUAUGGUGGCCAUAGCAUGUUUCUAUUCAUAUUGAUGCUUAGAGGGAAAUGCUAAGUUGAUGCACAUUGAGGGUUAGCAUGAAAAUGGGGAGAGAAAACACACCUGUUCGCAUGAACAAAAUGGUAGAUCCGAUAAGAUCUGUUGGUGGAGAAAAAUCUCUUCACCAGAAUCCCUAGUUUGAGCCAAACCUGAAAAAGA
RNAcentral lists this long non-coding RNA (834 nucleotides) under Linum usitatissimum (flax). Its description in RNAcentral is "long non-coding RNA (LUSI_LNC005597)". Lineage: Eukaryota; Viridiplantae; Streptophyta; Magnoliopsida; Malpighiales; Linaceae. The record is from RNAcentral.